CACGCCGUAAACGAUGAAUACUAGCUGUAUGCGAUAUACUGUAUGUAGCAAAGCGAAAGCGUUAAGUAUUCCACCUGGGGAGUACGUUCGCAAGAAUGAAACUCAAAGGAAUUGACGGGGGCCCGCACAAGCGGAGGAACAUGUGGUUUAAUUCGAUGAUACGCGAGGAACCUUACCCGGGCUUGAAAUGCAGAGGAAUGAUGUGGAAACAUGUCAGUCAGCAAUGACCUCUGUGUAGGUGC
This 242-nucleotide ribosomal RNA is filed under the name uncultured Paludibacter sp. RNAcentral describes it as "partial 16S ribosomal RNA". It matches the Rfam family "Bacterial small subunit ribosomal RNA", at positions 796 to 1041 of the family's 1533-position model. The record is from RNAcentral. Lineage: Bacteria; Pseudomonadati; Bacteroidota; Bacteroidia; Bacteroidales; Paludibacteraceae.